CCUACGGGCGGCAGCAGUGGGGAAUAUUGGGCCAUGGGCGCAAGCCUGACCCAGCAACGCCGCGUGAAGGAAGAAGGCUUUCGGGUUGUACAGUUCUUUUAAGAGGGAAGAGCAGACGACGGUUACUCUUGAAUAAGCCACGGCUAACUAAGUGCCCGCCGCCUCGGUAAUACGUAGGUGGCAAGCGGUGUCCGGAGUUACUGGGUGUAAAGGGCGUGCAGCCGGGAAGACAAGUCAGAUGUUAAAUCCCGCGGCUCAACCGCGGAACUGCAUUUGAAACUGUUUUUCUUGAGUACCGGAGAGGUCAUCGGAAGGCCUUGUGGAGCGGUGAAAUGCGGAGAUAUAAGGAAGAACACCAGUGGCGAAGGCGGAUGACUGGACGGCAACUGACGGUGAGGCGCGAAAGCGUGGGGAGCAAACAGGAUUAGAUACCCCUGUAGUC
RNAcentral lists this ribosomal RNA (442 nucleotides) under uncultured bacterium. RNAcentral's name for it is "partial 16S ribosomal RNA". It matches the Rfam family "Bacterial small subunit ribosomal RNA", at positions 338 to 795 of the family's 1533-position model. The record is from RNAcentral.